CCUACGGGAGGCAGCAGUAAGGAAUAUUGGACAAUGGACGCAAGUCUGAUCCAGCCAUGCCGCGUGAAGGAUUAAGGUCCUCUGGAUUGUAAACUUCUUUUAUAAGGGACGAAAAAAGGCUUUUCUAAGUCGUCUGACGGUACCUUAUGAAUAAGCACCGGCUAACUCCGUGCCAGCAGC
This 180-nucleotide ribosomal RNA is filed under the name uncultured bacterium. RNAcentral describes it as "partial 16S ribosomal RNA". It matches the Rfam family "Bacterial small subunit ribosomal RNA", at positions 338 to 515 of the family's 1533-position model. The record is from RNAcentral.